This 468-nucleotide ribosomal RNA is filed under the name uncultured bacterium. RNAcentral's name for it is "partial 16S ribosomal RNA". It matches the Rfam family "Bacterial small subunit ribosomal RNA", at positions 28 to 507 of the family's 1533-position model. The record is from RNAcentral.
GACGAACGCUGGCGGCGUGCUUAACACAUGCAAGUCGAACGGAAAGGCCCUGCUUUUGUGGGGUGCUCGAGUGGCGAACGGGUGAGUAACACGUGAGUAACCUGCCCUUGACUUUGGGAUAACUUCAGGAAACUGGGGCUAAUACCGGAUAGGAGCUCCUGCUGCAUGGUGGGGGUUGGAAAGUUUCGGCGGUUGGGGAUGGACUCGCGGCUUAUGAGCUUGUUGGUGGGGUAGUGGCUUACCAAGGGUUUGACGGGUAGCCGGCCUGAGAGGGUGACCGGCCACAUUGGGACUGAGAUACGGCCCAGACGCCUACGGGAGGCAGCAGUGGGGAAUAUUGCACAAUGGGCGGAAGCCUGAUGCAGCAACGCCGCGUGCGGGAUGACGGCCUUCGGGUUGUAAACCGCUUUCGCCUGUGACGAAGCGUGAGUGACGGUAAUGGGUAAAGAAGCACCGGCUAACUACGUG